CAACCAGUAAUUGUUAGAAUGUCGAGCUUCAGCAUUGCAUGUUUUUUUAAAUAUUAGCCCCCACACAAUAUCCUCCUUUCAGCUUUAGUACCAUGAUACUCGGGAAAGAUGGGCCUCAAAUGAGCUUCCUCGCUAUAAAAGAAACAGAACGUAGAUCUAAAACUUUAAGAUUUGGUGGUUGUCCAAUAGCUUAUAUGGGAACAACUAAAUCUAAUUUGUGUAUCCUCUAACUGCAACUUCAAUAAAUUGUGAAGCAUAUGGAUCAACUCAGUUACUUUGACUAGCUCGCCUUCUAGCUUGAGGCUCUCAAGUUGCAUUGGUAGCAACAAAUCCUCACCACCCAAACAGCUAUCUAACUCAUGACCCUUCACCCAAACAGCGAUUGGAGUUGCUUGUCACUAGGAAUAGCGACAAGAACUUCUUGAUGUAUUUGUUGUGUACACCAGCCACACCAAGCUUACAUAGUUGAGUAAGCUCUUGAAGCUCUUUGAGAGUGGUCUGCUUCUGCUUCAUUCAACAUUAACAACUCCUAGUGUGCAGGCCUUCAAUUUCCUUAUUCCUCUAAGAGCUUAGCACACCACCAAACAUAAGUGUAAAGAAGCAGAUUGUAUGUUGAAUACAUCUCUCCUGUUCAAAUCGUCGUCUAGAGCAUGUGGCUUCCAUGGAUGAAGAUAUAAUAUGAGUAAGUUUGAAAGUCAGAUUGGUUUAUUCUAAUCCGGACAAAAAAUUCUUGUUUGAACGCAUAUAUAUUUUUUAGGGGUUGCUACAAUAUUUUUAAAAUCUUUGACUCGUGAUCCUAUUACUAAGUUUAGUUUUCCUUAACGACUAGCAAAGGUUAAGCUUGAAGAGUCAUGGUAGUUAACAGCCGUUAUAAACCGUUAAUAUAACAUGUAGAAGGGC
Molecule: long non-coding RNA, 900 nt
Filed under: Sorghum bicolor (sorghum)
Lineage: Eukaryota; Viridiplantae; Streptophyta; Magnoliopsida; Poales; Poaceae
Description: long non-coding RNA (SBIC_LNC009654)
Source: RNAcentral